Molecule: unclassified non-coding RNA, 252 nt
Filed under: Hevea brasiliensis (rubber tree)
Lineage: Eukaryota; Viridiplantae; Streptophyta; Magnoliopsida; Malpighiales; Euphorbiaceae
Source: RNAcentral
GGGGUCUGCAAGUCUUCUUCCCCUGAACAUCAAUACCAUACGUCCUCCUGGAACUACUUCUAUUGAUCGUGCCUCGAGAAAUGAAGAGAAAUCCCUCUGAAAUUGUGCCUUAUAUGCGUUUAUCACAUCAGGAGGACUUGUCUUUGAAAUGAAUAUCUUUCCUUUAUUUAUUAGCGGAUUCAUUUUGUCACUCAAUUCUGGAGGCACCUGUGAAAGCCAAUGAAGACUAGAAGCAGAGUGCACAAAAUGCAG